Molecule: non-coding RNA, 625 nt
Filed under: Beta vulgaris subsp. vulgaris (sugar beet)
Lineage: Eukaryota; Viridiplantae; Streptophyta; Magnoliopsida; Caryophyllales; Amaranthaceae
Description: Eukaryotic large subunit ribosomal RNA
Rfam family: Eukaryotic large subunit ribosomal RNA
Source: Rfam by way of RNAcentral
CGCUCAAGCGGACCUCUUAUACGUUUCCGUCAUGAGAAACGCGAUCUCGUGACGAGUAGGAGGGCGUGGAGGUCAAGCCUCGAAGCUUUGGUGUGAAUCAGAGUGGAGCGGCCUCUAGUGCAGAUCUUGGUGGAAGUAGCGACUACACAAGUGAGACCCUUGUGGACUGAAGUGGAGAAAGGUUUCGUGUGAACUGCGAUAGGACACGAGUGAGUCGCUCCUAAGCACGUCCCAAACGGGUUUAAAAGCUGCGCUUUUCACGAAGCGCACGACGUUGCGAAAGGGAAUUCGGUUAAAAUUCCGAAACGCGAGCGCGAGAGAUGUACGGCAACGUCUAGCGACUGGGCGACGUCGGGGUGAGCCCUCGGAAGAGUCCUUCUUUUCUUCUUGACGCAAUUGUAUGAGAGCGGAAUCGCUUUACGCGGCGAAGCCCUGAUUAUUGCGGCAGAGCCGAGUCGUUUCGACUCGGUCGAGUGCGCUUGUCACGACCCUUGAAAAGCUCAGGGACCAUUUUCUCUCGACGACGCGGCGUACUAUAAACCGCAUCAGGUCUCCAAGGUGAACAGCCUCUAGUGCAUAGAAGAAUGCGGGUAAGGGAAGUCGGCAAAAAUAGAAUCGUAACUUU